CUCCACCCUACCCUGUCCCUCCCCUCCCCUCUCCCGGGCUCUGCAAACACCCCACAGACACCUUCCUGUGCAGACACAGAGAGUCAUGGUGAUUCUGCAGCUCCUCUCUCUGCUAAUGGGGCUGCUGGCCACUGCCCCCUCAGGUGCAGAGGGCAGAUUAGUGGAGCAGUCAUCCCCAUAUUUAAUGGUGCGGUUGGGAGCAUCAGAGUCAGUGACCUGCACCUUGAAGGACAAAACCUACCCCUGGAUGAGCUGGUACCUGCAGGAUGCCCAAGGCCAGAUGCACUUCCUGGAAUCUUUAAGAAACAAAGGUGAUACUGGUAACACAUCCAGGAUGGGAACAUCCUAUCAGACUAAACGGGUCAGUGAUAAAGGGCUCAGGCUGGAGAUGAAGAAUGUGACUCAGUCCCAGAUCAUCUACUGCACCUGCAGCAAAGGGCACAGUGAGAGAGCAGAGCACAGAUGGUGACAAAAACCUUCCUUCAUUCAGGGAUAUCUGUCCCACUGGGGGAAUUUCAGCCCAGCACCAGGA
Molecule: non-coding RNA, 532 nt
Organism: Dermochelys coriacea (leatherback sea turtle)
Lineage: Eukaryota; Metazoa; Chordata; Testudines; Dermochelyidae
Source: the annotation of a RefSeq genome assembly